CAGUAGCCGCGGGAAUACGAAGGGGGCUAGCGUUGUUCGGAUUUACUGGGCGUAAAGCGCACGUAGGCGGACGCUUAAGUCAGGGGUGAAAUCCCGAGGCUCAACCUCGGAACUGCCUUUGAUACUGGGUGUCUUGAGUCCGGAAGAGGUGAGUGGAACUGCGAGUGUAGAGGUGAAAUUCGUAGAUAUUCGCAAGAACACCGGUGGCGAAGGCGGCUCACUGGUCCGGAACUGACGCUGAGGUGCGAAAGCGUGGGGAGCAAACAGGAUUAGAUACCCCCGUAGUCCCUGUCUCUUAUAC
Molecule: ribosomal RNA, 301 nt
Filed under: uncultured bacterium
Lineage: Bacteria
Description: partial 16S ribosomal RNA
Rfam family: Bacterial small subunit ribosomal RNA
Source: RNAcentral